Molecule: long non-coding RNA, 1085 nt
Organism: Myotis davidii
Lineage: Eukaryota; Metazoa; Chordata; Mammalia; Chiroptera; Vespertilionidae
Exons: 2
Source: RefSeq, a predicted model, not a curated record
UGACUGGGAAUCGAACCAUGACCUCCUGGUUCAAAGGUCAGUGCUUAACCACUGAGCAACACCAGCCAGACCUGUGGUAUUCUUGCUGAUGUUCCUACAAGACAGAAAAUCUAAAUUACAAGGAGAGUAUCUUUCUAACUUAUUUUUUAAUCCUAAAACAUUGUUAAUAAGAAACUUAUAACUGGGCAGGGUCUAGAACUGCUUUAUUGUAUUAUUAAGUGGAAUCAUGGAAUUAAAUUGUGGCCCACCAUUGGGACACUAAGGUUUUUAAAAAUUAAGUAUAAAUUAAAGAUGCUACAUUAAUGUGAUUGAAAAAUUAAAAAGCAUGAAAUAACAGCAUCACAUACGAUGUGAGCUUUGGCCCUUGAAGCUGUGUAACCUGGCUGUCCUGUAAAAGUCACCUUCCCACCUGACCUGCCAGCUAUAUCACUUUCUUCUGUAUUAAUAAGGCGAAUCUUUAAACACAGAGGUGAAGAGCAGGAAAAUGGAAAUAGGAAGAAAGAAAAUGGCAAGAAAGAGGACAGGAGAAAGGUAAGUAGAAGGAUGGGUAGAACAGAAAUGUCUUUGUUUAUUCUGGUCGCUGUCACAAAAUACCAUGGAUGGCACUAAACAACUGGAACUUAUUUCUCAUGAAUUUGGAGGCUAAAAUCGGAGAUCAAGGUGCUUGCAUCAACAGUUUCUGUGUCUAGUGAGGGCCUCCUAUGGAGUGGGGGAAGGGGUGCUAAUCCCAUUCCUGAGGGCUCUGCCCCAUGAUUUAAUCACCUCCUAAAGGCCCCAUCUCCAAAUAUCAUCACCUUGGGGGUUAAGUUUCAACAUAAGAAUUGGGGGAAGCAGGGGGUACCAACCUUCAAACCAUAGUAGAGGGGGGAAGACAGGUUUUAAAUAAAGGAUUAGCAACUUUCUCCUAGACCUCUCUUUCAAUUGUCCUUUGUUUGUAUGUAUAUUUGUAAAUGAAUAGAAGAGGAAGAAAUGGAAAGAGGAAAAGAAAAAAAAGUCAUUAAUCUGGGGACCGGUGGUGGUGGUGGUGAGCCCCUGGGAAUUUUAAAGCACGUGCAUGUAUUACAAAAAUAAACUUCUCUGUAUUG